This 631-nucleotide long non-coding RNA is filed under the name Lathyrus oleraceus (garden pea). RNAcentral's name for it is "Pisum sativum (pea) long non-coding RNA (PSAT_LNC018179)". The record is from RNAcentral. Lineage: Eukaryota; Viridiplantae; Streptophyta; Magnoliopsida; Fabales; Fabaceae.
GACGCCACUUGUACAAUACCUAUUCUCUCUCAUAUCAAUAAAAUAAAUCAAAAAGUGUAGAAAGAGAGGCGAGGAUUGUCUAAAAGGGUAGCUUUGCAAAAGAGAGAAAUGAAGUUUCUUUUAGUAACACACAAACACGUUAAUUUUUUCUCUCUCUUUUCUUCACCUUCAUGAAUCCAUUUCUAUUAACUAACAAAGGAAAUCCACCAUUUAUGCCUUCUGUCUCUCUCAGUAUGAAAAACACCACCAUAUUGCAUCCACCAAACACUACACCUUCAUUCAUGCAACAAACUACCAUUUGAAACAUAUAAACACACAUACUUUAUAAAAAUACUUCAACUUUAUCCUCAUUUUUCUAACAAAAAAAAUUAUUUUCUCCCUACUAAACAUCACAUUUCAACCUCACAUAAUCAUCUUCCUUUUCCUCUCCAUAAACACUUCAUUUCAUAUCAAUCAAACACAAUAUUAACUCCAUCUCAUAGAAACAUACUCACUACAUAAACAUCAUAAACCACAUCCAAGUCUAUCACCUCCUCAACACUCUACACAAUAAUAUGAAACCCCUCGCAUCACCCUCCGAUUACGGUACUCGAGCUUUCUCUCUAAUAUUUAAGUUACUCCUUGUUUUGUG